Molecule: ribosomal RNA, 291 nt
Filed under: uncultured bacterium
Lineage: Bacteria
Description: partial 16S ribosomal RNA
Rfam family: Bacterial small subunit ribosomal RNA
Source: RNAcentral
GAUGAACGCUAGCGGCAGGCCUAAUACAUGCAAGCCGAACGGCAAGCUUUGUAGCAAUACAGAGCCUAGAGUGGCGUAAGGGUGCGUAACACGUAUGGAAUCUGCCCUCAACAGGAGGAUAGCUCCCCGAAAGGGGAAUUAACACUCCAUAGGAUAUAGGUGUGGCAUCACAUUUAUAUUAAACCGCAAGGGGUUGAGGAUGAGCAUGCGCAUGAUUAGUUAGUUGGCGGGUAACGGCCCACCAAGACGAUGAUCAUUAGGGGAACUGAGAGGUUGACUCCCCCACACUGG